RNAcentral lists this ribosomal RNA (482 nucleotides) under uncultured bacterium. RNAcentral describes it as "partial 16S ribosomal RNA". It matches the Rfam family "Bacterial small subunit ribosomal RNA", at positions 28 to 523 of the family's 1533-position model. The record is from RNAcentral.
GAUGAACGCUGGCGGCGUGCCUAAUACAUGCAAGUCGAGCGAACCACUUCGGUGGUGAGCGGCGAACGGGUGAGUAACACGUAGGUUAUCUGCCCAUCAGACGGGGACAACGAUUGGAAACGAUCGCUAAUACCGGAUAGGACGAAAGUUUAAAGGUGCUUCGGCACCACUGAUGGAUAAGCCUGCGGCGCAUUAGCUAGUUGGUAGGGUAAAGGCCUACCAAGGCGACGAUGCGUAGCCGACCUGAGAGGGUGAACGGGCACACUGGGACUGAGACACGGCCCAGACUCCUACGGGAGGCAGCAGUAGGGAAUCUUCGGCAAUGGGCGAAAGCCUGACCGAGCAACGCCGCGUGAAUGAUGAAGGCCUUCGGGUUGUAAAAUUCUGUUAUAAGGGAAGAAUGGCUCUAGUAGGAAAUGGCUAGAGUGUGACGGUACCUUAUGAGAAAGCCACGGCUAACUACGUGCCAGCAGCCGCCGUAA